UUCUACAUUGUGAUUUUUUAAAAGAGAACAACACAUGACAGAUUUCAAACGUCGCUUUACAACAAACCAUCUGGUUCUGACUACUGGACAGGAUGGUAUGGAUGUUUUGUGUCAGGAGGCAGGCGGGCCAGUUCUGACCCAUUUCUCCAGUACUGUGCUGCUGAGUCAGAGUCAGUAGUGCAUGAUGGGAGAACUGGUAUGAAGGAAGAGUCACAGACAAAGACACACAGGCGCACACACACCGAGGCGAGCAGAGGCGGUAUGUUCCGCUCCAGUGCGCUGCAUCUGUUCAGUGCUAAAUAUAACCAGAGGAACCCAGGCCUACCGCUCCCUCUGCUCGUGCUACUGGCUGAGUGGGCCAAAGGAUGGAGGAGGAAAAAAAGGAGCCAGGAAGGAGGCAGAGCUUCCAGCAGGCUGAAUCCUCCCUGUCGCUGAUAGAAAGCAUCAAGCAUCAAGCAUCGGAGCCAAUGACCACGGGCAAUGAGACGGAGAUGAGAUACACGUCCCCCAUCCUUCCUCCCUCCCUCUCUCCCUCCCUCGGCUGCAGCGGCAGACUGAAACACACCACAGGGACGAGUGUGUCAUCACUGGCCGGCUAAUAUGAUGAAACUCAACGCAUCACAAUAAAACACAAGACAAGAAAUUACCACACUAGGCUUGAAUUAUAGUUUAUAUACAUUUGGAUGAAGGAGUGGAAAGGCAGAAGUCUUUCCACCGGGUGUAAUAACCACUAAUUUGUACCUUGAGGGUUGUAAUUGAAGGGGAUUCUUGCGCAGUUGAUGUGGCACACCAGCUCUGUUUUAGCAAACAAAUCAGUGAGGUUGACUUGAAGGAGACACAUCUAGUGACCUAUAUAAACCUAAUAUUAAUUAACAUAUAUGGAACACCCACUUUUACAAAAAUAGCCAUUCUAACUGAGGGGCUAUCCAUCAGAUGUACGGGGCUGUGUGUAGGGAGAUAGCUGACAGACAGGAGGCCCCACAGGGAGAUUCAUUAAAUUAAUCUGUCAUGUGAAUUUCCUCAGUUAGUUACCCAAUGGAUGCUGCUACCAGAAUUUUGUGCUGAGAGGAAGCACUAUUUCAGAAAUGCCAGCUGGGCAUGUUUGUCAGAGGAUUUAGCUAAUAUGCAAAAAAAAAAAAAAAAAAAAAUGUUCCUAGCCAGAAAGUGAGGCAACCUUGCGAAGAGUUACAGUUUUGAAAGUGGAGUUUAAGGAAACAGCUUUCAAACAGAAGGAAGAAAUACGAGAAUGAUUCACUUGCAGCGCGGCACACGUCUCAGUCUCUAUCAAAACUGUCUGAGAGCAAAGAUAACACGCAGCAGACUGACAGCUGGGGAUGAACAGCUGAGAUAAGAUUAAAGAGAGGCCUUGGAUCUCGGCAGCGAGCCUUGUUGUUAUGAUGCUGCAAACCUUCAUAGGUACAUAUCAGGCCUGCCUCUUCAAACCUAAUCAUCAACAACAACAACAACAACAUGUACUGUAGCAGCACACUGCAUACAAAAGUUCUGUUUCCUUUUCUAAAAAAAAGAAGACAGAGAGAGAGUUAAUCUGUUGAGAAAUGUAAAGCACACUGUAAAAGUCAACCAGUCAAUCAAACAGUAAACCAGCAUGUGACUGGCAAAAACUGACGUUGUUAUGAUGCGAACGACAUCUUCCUAAACUCAGGGUGCUGCUUCUGGCUUUUGGUGAUGCAACGUGAUUGAUUCGUCGGGUAAAUCCACCAAGUAUCCCCCAUGGGUGACGAUAUAACAGAUGGUCUAGUGAACAGAAUAGUCUGUCCCUUUCUGUGAUGCUGUGUGGAAACAGAAAACAUGCAAAAAAAUGGACGGACUUCAACCUAAAAAGAUAAUGAUGUAUCUGUAAUCCAAUCAGAGGCACAAUGGCAAAGAUGAAAUACAAAAAGAUUAUGGCUUUUUCUCUGUUCACCGUGCCAUCAAAAAGACAUUUCGAUCACUUCAUCAUGCUCAGUGAAGAGACAAAACUAGAGCUUUCAUUAAACCGCUGACACGGCCCAUCUCAGCCUCAAACGGUCCAACUGCUGUGUUGCAAGUGAACAUGUGUGAGGUUAGACUCCGGUCACACACUGUGCAUCCUUCAUAAACCACUCACUGUUAAACCAUCAAACAACUGACCUUCAAACUGUAAGAAAUCACAGAUUUUCCUUCACAGCUGGAUAGCAUCAAUCACAGAGAUGAUUACGAGAAAUUUGAGAUAGAAGCAUGAAAGGAGAUAACCAACAGGUGGAGGAGAGAGAGAACGAGGGGAAGAAGUGGGUGCGAGGCCUUUUAAAGAAAAGGAGAGAUGGAGAGUGCAGUCGGUGCCGAUGACAAGCAGUGAUGAUUC
This is a long non-coding RNA of Thunnus maccoyii (southern bluefin tuna), 2341 nucleotides long. RefSeq lists it as uncharacterized. Lineage: Eukaryota; Metazoa; Chordata; Actinopteri; Scombriformes; Scombridae. The transcript is spliced from 3 exons. The record is from RefSeq and is a predicted model, not a curated record.